This 468-nucleotide ribosomal RNA is filed under the name uncultured bacterium. RNAcentral describes it as "partial 16S ribosomal RNA". It matches the Rfam family "Bacterial small subunit ribosomal RNA", at positions 28 to 507 of the family's 1533-position model. The record is from RNAcentral.
GACGAACGCUGGUGGCGUGCUUAACACAUGCAAGUCGAACGGAAAGGCCCUGCUUUUGUGGGGUGCUCGAGUGGCGAACGGGUGAGUAACACGUGAGUAACCUGCCCUUGACUUUGGGAUAACUUCAGGAAACUGGGGCUAAUACCGGAUAGGAGCUCCUGCUGCAUGGUGGGGGUUGGAAAGUUUCGGCGGUUGGGGAUGGACUCGCGGCUUAUCAGCUUGUUGGUGGGGUAGUGGCUUACCAAGGCUUUGACGGGUAGCCGGCCUGAGAGGGUGACCGGCCACAGUGGGACUGAGAUACGGCCCAGAGUCCUACGGGAGGCAGCAGUGGGGAAUAUUGCACAAUGGGCGGAAGCCUGAUGCAGCAACGCCGCGUGCGGGAUGACGGCCUUCGGGUUGUAAACCGCUUUCGCCUGUGACGAAGCGUGAGUGACGGUAAUGGGUAAAGAAGCACCGGCUAACUACGUG